UACGGGAGGCAGCAGUGGGGAAUAUUGGACAAUGGGCGCAAGCCUGAUCCAGCCAUGCCGCGUGAGUGAUGAAGGCCCUAGGGUUGUAAAGCUCUUUCAGCGAGGAGGAUAAUGACGUUACUCGCAGAAGAAGCCCCGGCUAACUUCGUGCCAGCAGCCGCGGUAAU
RNAcentral lists this ribosomal RNA (167 nucleotides) under uncultured Labrenzia sp. RNAcentral describes it as "partial 16S ribosomal RNA". It matches the Rfam family "Bacterial small subunit ribosomal RNA", at positions 340 to 524 of the family's 1533-position model. The record is from RNAcentral. Lineage: Bacteria; Pseudomonadati; Pseudomonadota; Alphaproteobacteria; Hyphomicrobiales; Stappiaceae.